Molecule: ribosomal RNA, 404 nt
Filed under: Fusobacteriota bacterium
Lineage: Bacteria; Fusobacteriati; Fusobacteriota
Description: Fusobacteria bacterium partial 16S ribosomal RNA
Rfam family: Bacterial small subunit ribosomal RNA
Source: RNAcentral
UGGGGAAUAUUGCACAAGGGAGGGAACUCUGAUGCAGCGACGCCGCGUGAGUGAUGAAGGAAUUCGUUUCGUAAAACUCUGUUCUAUGGGAAGAAAAGGACUGUACCAUAGGAGAAAGCUCCGGCUAAAUACGUGCCAGCAGCCGCGGUAAUACGUAUGGAGCGAGCGUUGUCCGGAAUUAUUGGGCGUAAAGGGUGCGCAGGCGGCUUUACAAGUUGGAUGUGAAAUAUUGUGGCUCAACCACAAACGUGCAUCCAAAACUGCAAAGCUUGAGUUAAGGAGAGGUAAGUGGAAUUCCUGGUGUAGCGGUGGAAUGCGUAGAUAUCAGGAGGAAUACCGGUGGCGAAGGCGACUUACUGGACUUAAACUGACGCUCAGGCACGAAAGCGUGGGGAGCAAACAGG